RNAcentral lists this ribosomal RNA (164 nucleotides) under Staphylococcus aureus. RNAcentral describes it as "partial 23S ribosomal RNA". It matches the Rfam family "Bacterial large subunit ribosomal RNA", at positions 2761 to 2925 of the family's 2925-position model. The record is from RNAcentral. Lineage: Bacteria; Bacillati; Bacillota; Bacilli; Caryophanales; Staphylococcaceae.
GGGAUAAGUGCUGAAAGCAUCUAAGCAUGAAGCCCCCCUCAAGAUGAGAUUUCCCAACUUCGGUUAUAAGAUCCCUCAAAGAUGAUGAGGUUAAUAGGUUCGAGGUGGAAGCAUGGUGACAUGUGGAGCUGACGAAUACUAAUCGAUCGAAGACUUAAUCAAAA